This 73-nucleotide transfer RNA is filed under the name SAR324 cluster bacterium. RNAcentral's name for it is "tRNA-Sec". It matches the Rfam family "tRNA". Rfam says of the family: Transfer RNA (tRNA) molecules are approximately 80 nucleotides in length. Their secondary structure includes four short double-helical elements and three loops (D, anti-codon, and T loops). Further hydrogen bonds mediate the characteristic L-shaped molecular structure. tRNAs have two regions of fundamental functional importance: the anti-codon, which is responsible for specific mRNA codon recognition, and the 3' end, to which the tRNAs corresponding amino acid is attached (by aminoacyl-tRNA synthetases). tRNAs cope with the degeneracy of the genetic code in two manners: having more than one tRNA (with a specific anti-codon) for a particular amino acid; and 'wobble' base-pairing, i.e. permitting non-standard base-pairing at the 3rd anti-codon position. Lineage: Bacteria; Deltaproteobacteria. The record is from RNAcentral.
AAGUGAAUAGUUCAGUUGGCAGAACGGUGGUCUUCAAAACCAAUGGUCGGGGGUUCAAAUCCCUCUUUACUUG